RNAcentral lists this ribosomal RNA (1372 nucleotides) under uncultured bacterium. RNAcentral's name for it is "bacterial SSU rRNA". It matches the Rfam family "Bacterial small subunit ribosomal RNA", at positions 28 to 1381 of the family's 1533-position model. The record is from RNAcentral.
GAUGAACGCUGGCGGCGUGCCUAAUACAUGCAAGUCGAGCGAACGGACGAGAAGCUUGCUUCUCUGAUGUUAGCGGCGGACGGGUGAGUAACACGUGGAUAACCUACCUAUAAGACUGGGAUAACUUCGGGAAACCGGAGCUAAUACCGGAUAAUAUUUUGAACCGCAUGGUUCAAAAGUGAAAGACGGUCUUGCUGUCACUUAUAGAUGGAUCCGCGCUGCAUUAGCUAGUUGGUAAGGUAACGGCUUACCAAGGCAACGAUGCAUAGCCGACCUGAGAGGGUGAUCGGCCACACUGGAACUGAGACACGGUCCAGACUCCUACGGGAGGCAGCAGUAGGGAAUCUUCCGCAAUGGGCGAAAGCCUGACGGAGCAACGCCGCGUGAGUGAUGAAGGUCUUCGGAUCGUAAAACUCUGUUAUUAGGGAAGAACAUAUGUGUAAGUAACUGUGCACAUCUUGACGGUACCUAAUCAGAAAGCCACGGCUAACUACGUGCCAGCAGCCGCGGUAAUACGUAGGUGGCAAGCGUUAUCCGGAAUUAUUGGGCGUAAAGCGCGCGUAGGCGGUUUUUUAAGUCUGAUGUGAAAGCCCACGGCUCAACCGUGGAGGGUCAUUGGAAACCGGAAAACUUGAGUGCAGAAGAGGGAAGUGGAAUUCCAUGUGUAGCGGUGAAAUGCGCAGAGAUAUGGAGGAACACCAGUGGCGAAGGCGACUUUCUGGUCUGUAACUGACGCUGAUGUGCGAAAGCGUGGGGAUCAAACAGGAUUAGAUACCCUGGUAGUCCACGCCGUAAACGAUGAGUGCUAAGUGUUAGGGGGUUUCCGCCCCUUAGUGCUGCAGCUAACGCAUUAAGCACUCCGCCUGGGGAGUACGACCGCAAGGUUGAAACUCAAAGGAAUUGACGGGGACCCGCACAAGCGGUGGAGCAUGUGGUUUAAUUCGAAGCAACGCGAAGAACCUUACCAAAUCUUGACAUCCUUUGACAACUCUAGAGAUAGAGCCUUCCCCUUCGGGGGACAAAGUGACAGGUGGUGCAUGGUUGUCGUCAGCUCGUGUCGUGAGAUGUUGGGUUAAGUCCCGCAACGAGCGCAACCCUUAAGCUUAGUUGCCAUCAUUAAGUUGGGCACUCUAAGUUGACUGCCGGUGACAAACCGGAGGAAGGUGGGGAUGACGUCAAAUCAUCAUGCCCCUUAUGAUUUGGGCUACACACGUGCUACAAUGGACAAUACAAAGGGCAGCGAAACCGCGAGGUCAAGCAAAUCCCAUAAAGUUGUUCUCAGUUCGGAUUGUAGUCUGCAACUCGACUACAUGAAGCUGGAAUCGCUAGUAAUCGUAGAUCAGCAUGCUACGGUGAAUACGUUCCCGGGUCU